Molecule: ribosomal RNA, 1490 nt
Filed under: uncultured Mollicutes bacterium
Lineage: Bacteria; Bacillati; Mycoplasmatota; Mollicutes
Description: bacterial SSU rRNA
Rfam family: Bacterial small subunit ribosomal RNA
Source: RNAcentral
GUUUGAUCCUGGCUCAGGAUUAACGCUGGCGGCAUGCCUAAUACAUGCAAGUCGAACGGAAUUAGGUACUUGUACCUAGUAUAGUGGCGAACGGGUGAGUAAGACGUAUUUAACCUACCCUUUUGUUGGGAAUAAUUACCGGAAACGGUGACUAAUACCGAAUAUGUGCUUAAUUCCACGGAUUUAAGUAUAAAAGAAGCCCUUAAAGCUUCGCGAAAGGAUGGGAAUGCGGUCCAUUAGUUAGUUGGUAAGGUAACGGCUUACCAAGACGAUAUGGAUAGCCGGACUGAGAGGUUGACCGGCCACACUGGGAUUGAGAUACGGCCCAGACUCCUACGGGAGGCAGCAGUAAGGAAUUUUUCACAAUGGGCGCAAGCCUGAUGGAGCAAUGCCGCGUGAUCGAUGAAGGUUUUCGAAUUGUAAAGAUUUGUGAUAGGGAAAAAACAGACUAAUUUAGGAAAUGAUUUUAGUUUUGAUGGUACCUUAUUAGAAAGUCAUGACUAACUACGUGCCAGCAGUCGCGGUAAUACGUAGGUGGCGAGCGUUAUCCGGAUUUAUUGGGCGUAUAGUAUGCGUAGACGGAAUUGUAAGUCAAAGGUUUAAUCAUGGAGCUCAACUCCAUUCCGCCUUUGAGACUGCUUUUCUCGAGAUAAGAAGACGUUAGUGGAAUUUGAUGUGGAGCGGUGAAAUGCGUGGAGAUAUCAAGGAACACCAAGAGCGAAGGCAGCUAACGAUUCUUUUUCUGACGUUGAGGCAUGAGAGCAUGGGGAGCCAAUCGGAUUAGAUACCCGAGUAGUCCAUAGCUGUAAACGAUGAGUGCUAGAUGUUAAUUAUUGAUUAGUAUCGAAGCUAACGCGUUAAGCACUCCGCCUGGGGAGUACGCACGCAAGUGUAAAACUCAAAGGAAUAGACGGGAACCCGCACAAGCGGUGGAACAUGUGGUUUAAUUCGAAGCAACGCGAAGAACCUUACCAAGGCUUGACAUUUAGUGCAACGCUAUAGAAAUAUAGUUGAGGUUAACACUAAACAGAUGGUGCAUGGCGUCGUCAGUUCGUGUCGUGAGAUGUAAGGUUAAGUCCUCUAACGAACGCAACCCUGUCGUUAGUUGCUAACAUUUAGUUGAGUACUUUAACGAGACUGCUCGUUUAAACGAGAGGAAGGUGAGGAUAACGUCAAGUCAGUAUGCCUCUUACGCCUUGGGCUACACACGUGUUACAAUGGUCACUACUAAAAGAUGCAAUAUCGUGAGAUAGAGCCAAUCUGCAAAGGUGAUCUCAGUUCGGAUCGAAGUCUGCAACUCGACUUCGUGAAGGCGGAAUCGCUAGUAUCGUCAAUCAGCAACGUGACGGUGAAUACGUUCUCGGGUUUUGUACUCACCGCCCGUCAAACCCCGAAAGUUGGUAGUGCUGGAAGCUGAUUCCUCAACCGCUUUGCGGAGAGAAUCAACCAAGGCAAGACGGAUAAUCGGGGUUAAGUCGUAACAAGGUAAC